CCCACCUUAAAUUUUGAACCUCACAGCAACAUGCUCAGAACUCAAAAUCAGCAAAUUCCAAAAAAAAAAAGAAAAGAAAAAAAGAAUUGGUUUUGGUUGCAAAAUGACUUUCUGAGUUACAAAUUAUUACAUAAAUCAAUGAUGGGUGAGUUUGAAAUGUGCAAUGAGGCAUGCGAUCUUCUUCUUUUUUUCUUCUUGUGAAAUUGGGAUUAUGAAAGAAUAUUUUAGCCUAGCAAUG
Molecule: long non-coding RNA, 238 nt
Filed under: Elaeis guineensis (African oil palm)
Lineage: Eukaryota; Viridiplantae; Streptophyta; Magnoliopsida; Arecales; Arecaceae
Description: long non-coding RNA (EGUI_LNC036579)
Source: RNAcentral